GAUGAAGAACGCAGCGAAAUGCGAAACGUAAUGUGAAUUGCAGAAUUCAGUGAAUCAUCGAAUCUUUGAACGCACAUUGCGCCCGCCAGCACUCUGGCGGGCAUGCCUGUUCGAGCGUCAUUUCAACCAUCAAGCCCCAGGCUUGCGUUGGAGCCCUGCGGCUGCCGCAGCCUCCUAAAAGCAGUGGCGGGCUCGCUAUCACACCGAGUGCAGUAGAUUACUCUUCGCUCAGGGCGUGCAGCGGGUUCCGGCCGUGAAACCCCCUACUUUUAAAGGUUGACCUCGGAUCAGGUAGGAAUACCCGCUGAACUUAAGCAUAUCAAUAAGCGGAGGA
RNAcentral lists this unclassified non-coding RNA (334 nucleotides) under soil metagenome. RNAcentral's name for it is "partial contains 5.8S ribosomal RNA, internal transcribed spacer 2, and large subunit ribosomal RNA". The stretch from base 1 to 120 matches the Rfam family "5.8S ribosomal RNA", at positions 35 to 154 of the family's 154-position model. The record is from RNAcentral.